AUGCCCGGAAACCGCACUUUCUGAACAUCACACAUCGCCGAGCUUUCAUUCCUAAAUGUGUAGAAAUUCCACUUUCCAUUACAAGAAAAAAGGAAACAUUGCAUCCUGUUCGACGCAAAUGUGUAUAAAUUGUCUGUGUGUAAAUAUUUAAACGUAGAAUAUUUUGGGAAUCUGUUUAGAGAUUUAUUAACCUGUCACACGAAAUGUGAUCAGGGAACGAUAAAAUACUGAUAUGACGUUCUUAAAAUUUGCUAAAGAUUUUAUCUUUGCAAUGUGUCAAAUUUUAAUUCAUUAAUGAAACUUAAUUUAAAAAUUCCGGUUUUCGUUUUGCUUCCAAUGCUAUUCUUAAUAACUGUGACAACAUGCCAGAAACCUUUGAAAAAAGCGCAACUUGGAGAUUUCCCUAGUCUUGUGAUCGUGAUAUUUGCAGGUGUCGGUCCAUUAUGCACUGGUGUUCUCAUUAGCAGUGUGCAUAUUACACUUCCUGGACACUGCGUCAUGGUCGGAGAGCCAAUUUUGAAAGAGUUUGCGACAGUCGUGGCUGGCGAUAACAACUGGAAAGGAGGUGGUCGAUCCAGGGAAGAACGAAACAUAAGCUGGGUUUUGCUUCACCCAAAAUAUAAUUGCCACACGUUCGAAUAUGAUAUCGCCGUAAUAAAGGUAAUUGCACCGUUUCCUCUAACAGAAUAUAUAAAUUUAAAGGCUAUCUCAGAUGCGCUCCCAGAAUUAGGAACGCAUUGUGUGGUGGCUGUAUGGGGUUCAAGAAGGACGUGUAUCUUUAUGAAGGGUUCAUUGCGCUAUGCUAAGGUUCCUGUGAUUCGUUUCGAAAGCUGUUCAAGACCGCCUGAACUAUUCAUCCGAUCUAAAAUGAUUUGUGCUGGAAAUUAUCAGGUGAAUGGGCGGUGUAGUGUGGCAAGACGUCAUGUGAUCCGCUUCAUAAUAGUUUGAAAUACACCGCAGUAUACGCUUUUCGAAACUUCUUACAAACAGCAGUUGUUCGAAGAAGUGGUGAACCAUUGGUUAUAGUUCAAGUUUCGGGCUCGAAGAAAAGUCACACUCGCAUCUGGAUUUUAUUUGGUGUUCUAGCAAAUACUUCUUUAAUUAAAAUUCUUCGCAUUUGUCUUAUUUAACAUGUGUUGGUUGAUUUUCAAAAUUUGUUGCGUAAUUAAUGUUUAUGUCCU
This 1181-nucleotide unclassified non-coding RNA is filed under the name Hermetia illucens (black soldier fly). Its description in RNAcentral is "trypsin-like, transcript variant X4". The record is from RNAcentral. Lineage: Eukaryota; Metazoa; Arthropoda; Insecta; Diptera; Stratiomyidae.